ACGCGUACGAAAAGAAGGGAAGAAGAAGAGCGAGUCCCACCACAUCAUAAACACUCAAAAAAAAAAUCGAUUUGUAUUCCUAAUUUUUCCUUUGUUUUAUUUAAGCAUGCUAGUGAUUCUUUUUUUUUUCUUCCC
Molecule: non-coding RNA, 135 nt
Filed under: Chloropicon mariensis
Lineage: Eukaryota; Viridiplantae; Chlorophyta; Chloropicophyceae; Chloropicales; Chloropicaceae
Source: RNAcentral